GACGAACGCUGGCGGCGUGCUUAACACAUGCAAGUCGAACGGAAAGGCCCCCUUGUGGGGUACUCGAGUGGCGAACGGGUGAGUAACACGUGAGUAACCUACCCUUGACUUUGGGAUAACUUCAGGAAACUGGGGCUAAUACCGGAUAGGAGCUCCUGCUGCAUGGUGGGGGUUGGAAAGUUUCGGCGGUUGGGGAUGGACUCGCGGCUUAUCAGCUUGUUGGUGGGGUAGUGGCUCACCAAGGCUUUGACGGGUAGCCGGCCUGAGAGGGUGACCGGCCACAUUGGGACUGAGAUACGGCCCAGACUCCUACGGGAGGCAGCAGUGGGGAAUAUCGCACAAUGGGCGGAAGCCUGAUGCAGCAACGCCGCGUGCGGGAUGACGGCCUUCGGGUUGUAAACCGCUUUCGCCUGUGACGAAGCGUGAGUGACGGUAAUGGGUAAAGAAGCACCGGCUAACUACGUG
This 465-nucleotide ribosomal RNA is filed under the name uncultured bacterium. RNAcentral's name for it is "partial 16S ribosomal RNA". It matches the Rfam family "Bacterial small subunit ribosomal RNA", at positions 28 to 507 of the family's 1533-position model. The record is from RNAcentral.